This 468-nucleotide ribosomal RNA is filed under the name uncultured bacterium. RNAcentral's name for it is "partial 16S ribosomal RNA". It matches the Rfam family "Bacterial small subunit ribosomal RNA", at positions 28 to 507 of the family's 1533-position model. The record is from RNAcentral.
GACGAACGCUGGCGGCGUGCUUAACACAUGCAAGUCGAACGGAAAGGCCCUGCUUUUGUGGGGUGCUCGAGUGGCGAACGGGUGAGUAACACGUGAGUAACCUGCCCUUGACUUUGGGAUAACUUCAGGAAACUGGGGCUAAUACCGGAUAGGAGCUCCUGCUGCAUGGUGGGGGUUGGAAAGUUUCGGCGGUUGGGGAUGGACUCGCGGCUUAUCAGCUUGUUGGUGGGGUAGUGGCUUACCAAGGCUUUGACGGGUAGCCGGCCUGAGAGGGUGACCGGCCACAUUGGGACUGAGAUACGGCCCAGACUCCUACGGGAGGCAGCAGUGGGGAAUAAUGCACAAUGGGCGGAAGCCUGAUGCAGCAACGCCGCGUGCGGGAUGACGGCCUUCGGGUUGUAAACCGCUUUCGCCUGUGACGAAGCGUGAGUGACGGUAAUGGGUAAAGAAGCACCGGCUAAGUACGUG